This 1330-nucleotide long non-coding RNA is filed under the name Penaeus monodon (black tiger shrimp). RNAcentral's name for it is "uncharacterized LOC119571533". Lineage: Eukaryota; Metazoa; Arthropoda; Malacostraca; Decapoda; Penaeidae. The record is from RNAcentral.
CUGUGCAUGAUCUCCAACACGACCGCCAUCGCCGAGGCUUGGGCCAGACUCAACCACAAGUUCGAUCUCAUGUAUUCCAAGCGCGCCUUUGUUCACUGGUACGUUGGAGAGGGUAUGGAAGAGGGUGAGUUCGCAGAGGCUCGCGAGGACUUGGCUGCCCUCGAGCACGACUACGAAGAGGUGGCCCAGGAUUCGAACCAGGACGAGGACGAGGACAUCGAGUAUUAAGGAAGGGCGAGAAGAGACGGAGCGGCGGGAAUGUGAGGCCGUCGAGCGAGAUGGAGAGGGGAGAGACGGAAUGAGGGGGAAGAAGAAACGGAUAGAAAAGGAGACAGAUAAAAAAGAAGAGAUGGGAAGAGCUGGUGGACAUGAAAGACGAAGAAAGAGAGGGAUAACGACAAGGAGAAAGAGGGAAAAGAGAGAGAGAUAACAGCCUUUUAUUUGUUUGUUUAUGACUUGAACGCUAAAGUAUAAUAAGAGAGCUGGCUGGACUGCAGAUGGGACCAAAGAUUAGACAGUGAAAGGUGGAAGCCUAGUGCUCACUAAUUCAUAAGAUUAGUAGCAAUGUUAGUCAUGUUUGUUUUUGUUAAUUAUAUGAAUUGUUAAACGAAGGAAAACUUGAUCUGAAUACUUUAUGAACAGGGUAUAUGAUACGAAGCUUAUAGCCAAAGAAAUUCCAUAUUAAGAAAAUAUAAUAAUGGUGAAUACCAAAGACCAAACACAAUCCUUGAGAAAAGCAAAAGAGAGAUGCUAUUUCAGGAGAACAUUACAAGAGAAGACACAAAAAAGAUUAAACCAAACCCACAAGAGGUUAUACCUUAAAAAAAAUCUUUUCCUAAUCUUUGUAAAGGUUUGUCUCAAGUGAAAUGGCAAUGUUAAUGCUCAAUGGAACAUGUUCAUCAUGAUGCUCACUGCUCCUUAGUGUUGAAUAGCCUUCCAUUUUAUUCAAUUACAAUAAACUGCUUUACGAAAAAAUACAUUUCAGCCUCGGCAUAGGAGGCAGUAUACUACUCUAUUCAUCUGCAAUGAAAAUAAUGUAAAACAGACAUUUUUUCACGGAACUCCUAAGAAAUUAUAAGCUUUAGUUAUGAUUAGUGGAUGUCACUUAUAUGUUUGAUUCUAUACAAUGAAAAAAAAAAAUGAUAAAAAGACAAAAAAAUCGUUCCUCACUUUCCUUCGGCACAAGCAGCAACCUUCACACUGUGGCUUAAUGUUUACGAUAAGUGCCCGGCGGAACCCUAAGGGCGCCCGCCACGUGUUACUUACGGUAAGGACAUGUUUUCUACUCAUUUUGUAUAUUUCUUCAAUAAAAUAUAUAAGUUAUGAAGAA